UUCUCCCUCAUCAGCAUCAACCCCUGUGACCUCCGAAAUGAGUAAAAGGAUCUCAAGUCGGGAUGGUGGAGAGGAGCGAGCGGUAGGUGUGAACUGACUACUGCCCUCUGACCUGUAAACCCAGAAAAAACGAUAGGAAGCUAAACACCCCCGCUCCCCCUCAUCAUCCCCCCCAGCCACGGCCUCUCCCCCGCCACCACAGUGAUGCGGUUUCCACAAGGGGGGGGGCAGGGACAGUGGUGGGGGCCUCCAUGAUUCUCCCGAGCCAGAAAAUACAUAUGUGGUGCUCACGCAGUCACUUGGGCUUAAUCAACUGAACAAGCCUCUGCUUCUUAGAGAGAAAGACAGAGAACAGCCACUGACUGUCAUUACUGCUGCCUGCUGUCUAGGAAAGCUGAGAACGGUAGAGAAUGAUUUCUGUUCUUUCUCAUGAUACGUUAGUAAAUUCUAUGUACAUUAUUAGUUCUUAAUAAGUUAGAAUGUUGGUUUCAUGAAUACAGUUCUUGUCCUGUGUACCAAAAUUCCUUAAGGCCCCAGGGCCUUUGCUUUCGUGUGCAGAACUUCCAGUGGGAAACUUUGCCUGGGUGUCUUUUAUACGAAGACCAAUAUCCUUGCCAGUGUUUACGUCUUAAGUAUUAUUACGGGUGAAAUGUUCAACAGAGCCGGGCUACAUUCUUCAAUAGAAAAGGCAUCUAUGAGGGAAGAGUAGAAAAAUAUCAAAAACAGUAAACUCACCUAGUUUUCAGUCUCAGCUUCAAGCGUCCAGGCAACCUUCGAGACGUUUGGAAACACAACACCGCCACCUUCUGGUGGAGUCAUGCCAUCGUUCUCUCUGCCAGUCGAUGGGGAGAUGGUGAAGCAUCCUGCCGCUAAGAUUGCUGAAGUGCCAGCAGUUUGUCCCUCCAUGCUCCACACUGACCACAGUUGUCCUGCUACUGCUCCUGGCCAAGUUAACACAGAAGACAACAGUGUUCUGGCUAAGCUGCUGGAAGCUUCGAGGAGCAACUACUACAGAUACUAUGGCAACUGCAGACACCUGUGAGACAGUGCCUUGGGUUCAAAGUCUGGCUGCCAUUGCUGAGCUGGAAAAGGCAGAGGCCACCAAGCUGGGAUAGCUGUGUACUGGAUCAGUUUGACCAAGUAUUCUCUCCUAAGGGUUGGGCAUGAUGGAAAAACGAAGGAGAGUAUGGUUGGGGGAAACUCACAGGUAGGUGGUACAGCUUUGGAGACCAUGGCCAAGAGAGUUGGUCAUAAAGCUGCCUAAGCAAUAAAUGGGUGAGUGGGAAUUUUGCUAAUUCUUUUCCAUUGGGGUUCUUUCCAAGUGACUGGUUCACUGGAAAUGCACCUGGAGCUACCAUUUUUCACUCAGCAGGUUCUUCCAUAGAGAUCUAAGAAUACAGUCAGUCUUAAGAAAUGGUUAUUGGAGGGCUGGCUAGGUAGCUCAGUAGGUAAAGGCUCUUGUCACCAAGCUGGAUGACAUGAAUUCAACCCUCAAGACAUACAUGGUAGAAAUUAAGAACAGACUUCUUCAAGCUGUUAUCUGAUCAUGGUGUGUGCAUAUUUGCACACACACACACCCAUACACACACCCACCCACCCACACACACACACACACACACACACACACACACACACACACACACAUGAACACAGACAUACAUACUAAAUAUAGUUAAAAAGAAAUAGUGAUGGGAAUGAAUGAAUUUUGUAUUUCAUUUCUGAACACCCUGCUGGGACCAGACUGGAAGUAAAUUUCCAUUUACUACCCCACCAACUUGACCCCAAACCCCACAACAGGAAAGGGAAGUGCUCACAGAGCAACCCUGCUUGUUUCUUCUCCAUCCAUGUAUGGAGAUGUGGGAGAUAUUGGAAUAAGCAAGCAAGAUGAUUACAUUUUCACAGUCAAGCUGUGGCCUCCGAGGAACAUCUUUUUAUAAGAAUAUGCAUCUUAGUCAUUGCUAUUAACAUUAUCAUGAAGAAAAUUGAUAGCAGUGUGAACAAGUUUAUGGACAUAAAUCCAGGCUCACCCAGGCAUCCUCUCCUCUUUGGCUACAAGAAAAGCACUGUUCCUGUUUGCCCAUUCAUUGCAGAAUUCCUUGUCUAGAGAUGCUCUUGCUGACUGACUGGCUUUUGCUGUGCUCUGUCUGUCACGACGGAACCUUAGUUUCAAAACCACCAAAGCGAUUGUAACCUCUUUAAUGGGAUUUCACAUUUAGGGGCUAGGAUUGGCUCUGAUUCUGUUUGUAAAAUUACAUUUUAGAAUUCUCUCUCUCUCUCUCUCUCUCUCUCUCUCUCUCUCUCUGUGUGUGUGUGUGUGUGUGUGUGUGUGUGAGAGAGAGAGAGAGAGAGAGAGAGAGAGAGAGAGAGAGAGAGAGAGCAUGGCUGUCAUGUGGCAGUCAGAAGAGGUCAGAGAACAGCUUGCUCUACUCAUGUCAACAGGCUUGAUGUCCGGCUCCAUUUCCAUUGAGUCGUCUCUUAGGUCCCUGGUGGAAUCUUAUUUGAGGAUCUCACUUUAUCUCUCGACUUGAGAGAUUAACGGACAUUUAACAUACACUUGUGAAUCAUAACUAUAUAUAUAUAUAUAUAUAUAUAUAUAUAUAUAUUCCUCUUAAAGACCCUCUAGUGACAUUAGAAAUAACCCAAGAAAAUCCUUUAGGACCCUUGUUCUAUUUGGUGUUCUGGGAGGAAUUUUUACUAAAUGUAAGCCAAUGUUUAGAAUCCAGGUCCUCUCUGGAGUAGAGAAAGCAAGUGAGACAGAGGACUGUACGUCUCUUGGUGUGGUUUUCCUUGCCCGGCUCCAUGUUCACUUACUGGUCCAACCUCUUCUUAAGCAAAAGGACUACCCUGCUAGAAGGUUCUUCUGGGUCAGCCAUCACCUUGAACUGUCUCUGGGUCUGCAGUGCAGUGUGAACAGCAGGAGGCAUUUGGCUGUGGAGUGGGCCAGCUCUGCUCCAUGUUCCAGCUUUCCCCUGACUAGGUGUGCUCUUAUGAUGUCGUUGGAGGCUUCUGUCUACUUACCCAUAAAGAAGCGGUGCCGUGAAAUCUGCGUGGACUAACGCAUGUCACACCUGGACUGUAACAGUUGCUUCUUCAGUCUCACCUGAGGGAGAAACACGAAGCCCCGAGUUUUCUGUGUCCCUGCUGUGAACUAUGGCUCUGCAUUAAGUCUUUGCUAGUGACAUAUGAACGUCAUAGUCAACAGAGACAGCUGCACCACGUGGACCUGCUUACGGCUUUAGAGAUUGUGAGAGCGGGUGGACUGGAGGGAGCCAUUUUCUCAGUGAGCACACCAGACCAGAACUCUUUAAUGACUUGACUUGGGGGAAAUCUCAAAGUCCCAGGGUGGAACUUUAAGAAGGCAUUUUGUAUUUAACCCGAUGCUGCCAAGUAGGAAUAAACCUCGGGAAGCAUGGAGAUAAACUGAAUUGGGGGACAGGUUCCCAGUUACCCUCAAAGUGUGCUCUGUUGGGAGGGCUGGAUUGCCCAGUAAGGAAUGUCUUUGAUCCUCUGAUGGGUUUGGUGCAUCAUGGACUGUCUUUACUCCUCUACUCUCCUAAUAAGCACUUCAGCCACCAGCAGAUGCUAUGACAGAAGCAGGACACAGGCUUCUUAACAUCACAGAAUCCCAACCAUUCUUCACGGCACCUCAUAGAGGCAGCAAUGUAAACCAUAUCCAUUCACUCCUUCCUCCCAGGUAAGAAUGUCUACGCAUCUGGAAGAACUAACUCUGAAAUUUACCUUUUAGGCACAGAAAAAUACAUUGUAACUCCAGUGAACCAGUGCAGAUGAAGAAGGCAUUGUGUGUGAUGAUGGCUCAUACCUGUGAUCCUAGCACACAUAAGGCUGAGGCAGGAAGACUGUGAGUUUGAGGCUAACCUGGGCUAUAUAGUGAAGUCCUGCCUCAAAAAACCAAAACCAAAUAAAAAGCAAAUCAAAACAAGGAAGGAGAAAAAAAGAACCUUAGAAGUUAUAACUAGGUUUUGACAACUGUGUACAUUUUUACUGAUUUUGUUGUGUUGUUGAUGUUUUGACUUCAAAUAUCCAGCAGAGGGCAUGAAAGGAAUUGGUUUAGUCGGGUGUACUAUGGACUGUGGGAGGGAUGGGCAAAGAAAAUGCAAAAGGGAAUGUGUGAAUUCCACGUUAUAGUCCUCAGACAGGGAAGUACUUGCAACAUUGUAACUUCUGUUGUUUCUUUUCUUUCUAGCCUUUGUUUAAAACACUCAGCUCAUUUCUCUUUAAGUCUAUGUAUAAAACACACAGGACAGCAUGAAGUAAAGUGGGUGAUUUUACUCAGAUUGGUUACUUUUCUGUUGCUGUGAUAAAAUGCAACAAACAAGGCAACUCAUAAAAGAAAGUGUUUGUUUGGAUUUAUGAAUCCAGGGGAUAAGAGCCUGUCAUGGCAGGAAAGUACGGCAGAUGGCAAACCACAUGGGGCAGAAACUGAGGACUCACAUCUUAAGUUGCAAGCACAAACAGGAAAAAGAAAGAGCACAUGGAAAUGGCUCGUCUUUGAAUUCUUCGAGGGCCACCUGCAGUAUUAUACUUCCUCCAAAAUGGCCACACCUUUUAAACAUCAACUGGGAAUCAUCUUUAUUAGUAUUUUAUUGCUUUGAAGAGACACCAUAAAAAAGGUGACUCCUCUUCCUCCUCCUCCUUCUCCUCCUCCUCCUCCCCCUCCUCCUCCUCUUUAGAAUUAUUUACUUAUUACAUGUAUAUGAGUACACUGUAACUGUCUUCAGACACACCAGAAGAGAGCACCAGAUCCCAUUACAGAUGGCUCUGAGCCACCAUAUGAGUGCUAGGAACUGAAUUCAGGACCUCUGAGAGAAAUGUCAGUGAUCUUAACCUCUGAGCCAUCUCUCUAGCCCCACCAUGGCAACUCUUAUAAAGGAAAUAAUUUAAUUGGUGCUGUCUUACAGUUCAGAGGUUUAGUCCAUUAUCCUUAUGGUGGGCAGCAUGGCAGUGUGCAGGCAGACAUGGUGCUGGAAAAGUAGCUGAGAGUUCUACAUCCAGAUCAGCAGGCAGAAGGCAAAGAGUGAGACACUGGGCUUGGCUUAAGCUUCAGAGACCUCAAAGCCCACCCCCACAGUGACAGACUUUCUCCAACAAGGCCACACUUACUCUAGUAAGGCUGUACCUCCCAGUCGUGCCACUCCCUCUGAGCCUAUGAGGGUCAUUUUCAUUCAAACUACUAUAUCGAUCAAGUUUUCAAAUGUGACUAUGGGCCACCACAAGCACAACACCAGAUAUAAGACAUCACAUAACAUUGUACUCACAAUAAAGCAAGUCUCCUUCAGACCACUAGAGCUCCCUCAGCAGAACAUCACCAUCCACUUGGCUUCCAAUCAUAGGCUUAGGGGAUAAAGGGAGAAGGCUUUAGCAUUAGCCAAGAGGUUAAACACAACUGAGGACUUAGCAGUUAAAAUUAAACAAGAAUCGGUAAGAUGUGUGUGUGUGUGUGCGUGUGUGUGUGUGUGUGUGCGCGCGCGCACAUGCGCACAUGCCCAUGCACACAUGCAUAUUUUCUAUCCACACAUCUAUGUAAAUGUAUGUGUUUAUGCACAUCUCUUUCCCUCUUUUUGGUGUGAUCUUAAGACACACAUACAUCAGUACAAUAUUUACCAAAUGUCUACUGUAGCAUGUAGGUUUUGCUAUCCUGCUUUAAGCUCUGUGUGCGCUGUGCUACCAGCCCCACCCACGUUCCCUUGGAUCUGUGGAUGAAACACACACAUUAAUAUAAUUUUCAACCUGCCUUAUGGCUCAGUUGCUGGGUGCUUCUAAUGUCCUGCCAGAGGAAACAGCCUAUGGCCUCGCCUCCCGAGAUCUCACAUCUCACCUUUUCUCCCUCGGAAGCAUGGCAAAAAUUCUCUUCCCUCCUCUGCUUCUGUUAGUCUGCCUAUGGGGACCCAGAAGUCCUGCCUAUUUCAUCUAGCUCAUUGGCCACUAGCAUCUUUAUUGAUGGAUCAAAAUCAAUUGGGAAUAGGACCUUAGCAGCAGAACUACCCCCUACAGUUUAUAAAGUGCUACAUUUUAUAUUAAGCACCUGAAACACUGCUUUCAUCUUAUAAUCACCCUACAAAGAUUUCUAUAAAGGCGACAAAGCACCUGGGAACAUUUUUUCAUGGGUCUCUCAGAUUUCCAUGUGUUUUAGGAGGAAAGCACCAAUUGCCUUUUGUUCUGGCCUAUGUCUUCCAAGCAUGUUCACAUAGCAGUUUGGCUUGGAAAGAUGGAGACCAUGUUUGCUUCUGGAGCAAAGAAUGGGUACUAUCCAUCGCAGUAAGAUUUAGGGUCCUUGAAUAGAGAGUUUCUCUUCUAAAAUGUAAAUGGUUGCCCCAUUCAAUUUGGAAGCAUGAGGAGCCUAUGUCACUAUGCCUCACUCCCGUUACUUGCUACAUGACCAUGAAAGCAAAACCUUUAGUCUCUUGACCAGGAUUUAUGCCUCUUAUCAACAUCCAGGACACUAUGACAAGCCACCUGUUUAGAUGCCAAGAAGGAAAAAUGUCAGGUCCAUCACAGUUCUUGAAGCUAUGUAAACUAACUUUCAGUACAGAUGUGGAUUCCCCUGACUCAGUCCAAGCGCGAUGACCGAAGAAGAGGUUAAGUAACUUGGCUCGGAGUCAAGCUGUGUCUGAACCUUUGAGUCACCCUUUCAUCCCUCUGCUCUUUGCAUCAGAUGGUGACACUUGGCUAAACAUAAAGAAAAUUCAAAGAGAACACAGUUUAUAUCAGGAAGGUUAGACAUUUGGUCAUGCUAAGAGAAUGUUUUCUAUUGCAACAUUAGGACUUUAGCAAGAAUUAUCCCAGGGUGGUUUAUUUAUUUACAUUUCUCCUAAAAAGAAUGAUGGGCUUUUCUUCCUUGGUGACGUUUUCAUAGAAAAUGCAAGUUCAUUGUUUGCAUUGAAGUCUUGUGAUAGAAGGUAAAAAAAGAACUACAUCACCAACUAACAACUCUUGGGAAGGCUAUGUGUGCCAAACUGUGUGCGCCGAGCUAUGUGUGCUGAGCUGUGUAUGCUGAGCCGCAUGUGCCAAGUUCUGGGCGCCAAACUGUGUGUGCAGCGCUGUGUGCAUCGAGCUAUGUGCACCGAGCUGGUGCAUUACUCAGAAAUCCUUCUUCGUGCUGGUGUCCUUCAUGAUGGAAUCACAGAUAGACAGUGUGAGGGAGGUUAGCUCACGUUUAAGGUUGACAGAGACAGGGCUGUGGAAUGAUAAAGUAAAUAUGAAAAAUUAAUCCCUCUCAGAUGUCAGUUCCUGAUAAUGUAGCUGUUGGGUGCAUUUGGUCAGUGGAAGAAGUUAAAAGUGAGGGACCGUAAGCAGCUGAAUAGCAUGAAGCAAUCAUUGAGAGUUAGCAGACCAAGACAGCAGGGGUUGAAAUAGCUUCUCAGAAACAGAGAAUCCUUGAUUUAAAGUCCUGUCACAUUUUUUUGUAAAGCAUAUGUGUGCCACUAAACAUCUUCUGGACAAACAGAAUCCUUCUACAGGACACUUUAGUCCAUUGGCACUAGUUCAAGAAGCAGCUACCCAGUCCAGUCUGAGAGGACCAGGUGGUUGCGAAAGGUGACUUUGCUCUUAAAUAGUUUCCAAUCCAGUAAGGGGGAUCGAACAUAUAAAUGAAUAAUGAUAGUAGAGUGUGAUGCGGGAAAGACAUUUAUGAGCUGCAGAAGCCACGGAGAGCAUCAUUGCUGUGAUCUCAGGUUAGACAGAAUACCUUUCUUUGCUUUCUUUUUGUUGUGAGACAAUGGUAGUCCCUUGCUUGAUUUAUUUUUUCCAUAUGAUCAAAUGACUCAAUAUUUCAUCUUUAAAAUACAGAUGGUCGGGGCUGGAGAGAUGGCUCAGCGGUUAAGAGCACCCGACUGCUCUUCCAGAGGUCAUGAGUUUAAUUCCCAGCAACCACAUGGUGGCUCACAACCAUCUGUAAAGAGAUCUGAUGCCCUCUUCUAGUGUAUCUGAAGACAGCUACAGUGUACUUAUAUAUAAUAAAUAAAAUAAAUCUAAAAAAAAAUACACAUGGUCUUUUUCUUCAUUUUACUCCAUGGGAAAACAAUGUAAAUGCCUCUUUGAGAUAUUUUUUUAUAUCAGUAUCACAAAUCAAAUUAUCUAUGCAUAACUGCUGAUCAAUGGAUUUUU
Non-coding RNA from Rattus norvegicus (Norway rat), 8124 nucleotides. The record is from RefSeq and is a predicted model, not a curated record. NCBI's taxonomy places the organism in Eukaryota, Metazoa, Chordata, Mammalia, Rodentia, Muridae.